UACAGAGGUGGCAAGCGUUGUUCGGAAUUACUGGGCGUAAAGGGCGCGUAGGCGGCCUUGUAAGUCCUGUGUGAAAUCCCCCGGCUCAACUGGGGAACUGCACAGGAGACUGCUUGGCUUGAGUUCGGGAGAGGGAAGCGGAAUUCCGGGUGUAGCGGUGAAAUGCGUAGAUAUCCGGAGGAACACCGGUGGCGAAGGCGGCUUCCUGGACCGACACUGACGCUGAGGCGCGAAAGCCAGGGGAGCAAAC
This 250-nucleotide ribosomal RNA is filed under the name uncultured bacterium. RNAcentral's name for it is "partial 16S ribosomal RNA". It matches the Rfam family "Bacterial small subunit ribosomal RNA", at positions 524 to 773 of the family's 1533-position model. The record is from RNAcentral.